RNAcentral lists this long non-coding RNA (1047 nucleotides) under Homo sapiens (human). Its description in RNAcentral is "HSALNT0350825". The record is from RNAcentral. Lineage: Eukaryota; Metazoa; Chordata; Mammalia; Primates; Hominidae.
AGACAUGCUGGCUGCUCAUUUGAUAAUCUGUGUUUUGCUCAGUACAAAAGGUUGCUGGCUAAGUUUUGUGAGCCCCUCUAACGUCAGGCUGGCAGUAUCUUGGGUUCAAUUAACAAGAAAGUCUACAGUAACAUUUUGUCAAUGGGGAAGGACUUGAAUUCACAGAACUGUCUCGGAAAGCCCUGGAAAAACAGGACAAAGAAACCUGUGUGAAUUUUCAGCUUUUCACCUUCUCUGAUUUUAUUUCUUCCUCACUCUUCCUUUGACAGUCCUCGCAGUCCGCCUGAGAGAGUAGAGAAGACCCCCUCCCAGAACCUUCCUGUAAGGUCUCCCCGCUGACUUCCUGUAGUGGAUGUGACUGUGUGCCAGGUGCCUGCCGAAGACCCCUGUCACUGACUGUGCCCUUUGGGAAAGAGUCAACAAUGGCCUCCUCCUAUGGCUGACUUCGUUCAUGUUCAGGCUCUCCAGCUUGCUAGUGAGAAUUGCCAAGGAUUGGUUCAUGGCAGGAUAGAACUAAACUGAUAGAUGAAAGCUCCACAGUGCUUCAAGACGGGGUCCCGUUCAUGUUAAGCAGUUUUCCUUCCUUCAAAAUAAAAAACUAGCAGUCCUUAGGGAGGACAGUUUUUUCCUUCCUUUUCCUAUUCUGGCUCCAACAGCUGUCUCAACACAGCCCGAGAUGGGGAGCAGCCUGGCUUCCACCGGCAAUAGCUGUAUUGUGGGAGUGUGAAAGAGAAGCCACCUUUUCCUCCCUCUGCCCAAGCCACCUGGCCCCUUUGUCCUUUCUCCUCCUCGUCCUCUGAGGUAUGAGUGGCUGUGACUGUAUGACAUAGGAACUAUGAAGCGGGGUGAGGGGACGGUUUGGUGCGUAAAUCCUCACGCAGGUGGCGGUUAUUGUCUGUGUGGAGGAAAUAAGCCCGGUUCUUCCUGGGACUGCUUUCAUUUCCCUCUAGCUUCCAGAGGGUAAAAUGAACCUUAAUGGAGGUUGGGGGGUGGCACGCACAAAGUCCUGGGUUGAGGGGGCAGUGGUCAGAAAGUUCCCUAGGGUAA